UACGGGGGGGGCAAGCGUUGUUCGGAAUUACUGGGCGUAAAGGGCGCGUAGGCGGCCUGCUAAGUCGGAUGUGAAAUCCCUCGGCUCAACCGAGGAACUGCAUCCGAUACUGGCGGGCUUGAAUCCGGGAGAGGGAUGUGGAAUUCCAGGUGUAGCGGUGAAAUGCGUAGAUAUCUGGAGGAACACCGGUGGCGAAGGCGGCUCACUGGCCCGGUACUGACGCUGAGGUGCGAAAGCGUGGGGAGCAAACAGG
RNAcentral lists this ribosomal RNA (253 nucleotides) under uncultured bacterium. RNAcentral describes it as "partial 16S ribosomal RNA". It matches the Rfam family "Bacterial small subunit ribosomal RNA", at positions 524 to 776 of the family's 1533-position model. The record is from RNAcentral.